UGCGUCUGGCAGCGCAGGUCCAGCAGCGUGGGCCCCAGGAAGGCGAUGCACAGGCCGAAGCUGAAGAAGACGCUCCAGUAGGUACUGGUCCCAUCUCACAGCAGCACCCCUGCCUCUGCUCUGUCCCUCCCUGGACAGUGAGCCCCAGAGAUGGGGGAGUCCCAGGGUCCCGUGGCCCACCACUCUAGAUGGAGUCUUGCUAUGUUGCCCAGGCUGGUGUCAAACUUCUGGCCUCAAGCAAUCCUCCCACCUCAGCUGGGAUUAUAAGCAUGAGCAACUAUGCCCAACCUGACAUUUUCACUAUGUACACUCUUGUACCUUUUCAAUUAUGGAAGACAUGAAUGUGUUUUCUUUUAAAUAAACUCUCAGGAAACCACUUGCCAAACUCCUACUUGCUAUAGAAUUGCUUGAGGAGAGAAUUUAAAAUGCAGAUUCACAGAGUUCAUCCCCCAGGGAUUUGGACUUUGGAGGUCUGGGGACUGUGAUCCCUGGGGAGGGAGGGAGCUGGAAUUCCUGCUGAUGGAGAAGUGGCUGAGAUCUUAAGAAGCUGAGAGGAAGAAAAGAUUACAUCCUAGCCGCCUCUGAGACGCUGAGCUCCUGGGAGUGGGGUCUAAGUCAGGGUCAAUGCUUUUAGGUGACCAGAAGGCAAGGAUUUCCUAGUCCCUGGAAACCAGACACCCAUCCUCCAUUCAAACGAGUGAGGUGGAGUGUCCAUGUCAGAGGCUACACCUGCCGGGAGGCAGCUGCUCAGGUCUCCUCCACUCCUACUCUGAAUUGAACGCCAAACAAACCCAGUUUCAAACUCUGGUGCUACCACUAGCAGGCUGUGGAAUAGCAAUGAAGUUAUAAAACCCCUCUCACCCUUGGCUCCAGUCAUUCCUUCAUUCAUUCAACAAUGACCGCACACCUGCUGCGUGCCAGGCACAGUUGCAGACCCUGAGAAUCCACAGAUAUAGAAACACCAGACCCCUCAAGGACAAAGACCGUAAAGACCUUCAGUCCUGUCUCUGGGUUUCUCUCCAUGACCAACUUUGGCAACAGAAUGGCAGGGGCCGUUGAGGCUGGCACCCCUGGGGACUUCUAAGUCUCAUGAGGAGGGAGGGGAUGGGGAGGAUUUCCCAGCAUCUCUAAACCAUAUUCCUACGUCACUUUUAAGAUCCAGGACACAUUGCCACGUGCAAUACAUGUUGGUACCUUUCUUUUCAGUUUCAGGCAGGCCAGGGACCUGUUUCCAGGGGUUUCUUCUCAUUAGGCCAGCUCUUGUCCUAGGCAGGACUUGAGCGUGACUGG
This is a long non-coding RNA of Sapajus apella (tufted capuchin), 1290 nucleotides long. RefSeq lists it as uncharacterized. Lineage: Eukaryota; Metazoa; Chordata; Mammalia; Primates; Cebidae. The record is from RefSeq and is a predicted model, not a curated record. The transcript is spliced from 9 exons.